RNAcentral lists this ribosomal RNA (443 nucleotides) under uncultured bacterium. RNAcentral describes it as "partial 16S ribosomal RNA". It matches the Rfam family "Bacterial small subunit ribosomal RNA", at positions 338 to 795 of the family's 1533-position model. The record is from RNAcentral.
CCUACGGGAGGCAGCAGUGGGGAAUAUUGGGCAAUGGGCGCAAGCCUGACCCAGCAACGCCGCGUGAAGGAAGAAGGCUUUCGGGUUGUAAACUUCUUUUCUGAGGGACGAAGAAAGUGACGGUACCUCAGGAAUAAGCCACGGCUAACUACGUGCCCGCAGCCGCGGUAAUACGUAGGUGGCAAGCGUUAUCCGGAUUUAUUGGGUGUAAAGGGCGUGUAGGCGGGAAAGCAAGUCAGAGGUGAAACCUCAGGGCUCAACCCUGAGACUGCAUCUGAAACUGUUUGGCUUGAGUGCUGGAGAGGCAAUCGGAAUUCCGUGUGUAGCGGUGAAAUGCGUAGAUAUACGGAGGAACACCAGUGGCGAAGGCGGAUUGCUGGACAGUAACUGACGCUGAGGCGCGAAAGCGUGGGGAGCAAACAGGAUUAGAUACCCGAGUAGUC